GGUACCUGAAGAAAAAGCAUCGGCUAACUCCGUGCCAGCAGCCGCGGUAAUACGGAGGAUGCAAGCGUUAUCCGGAAUCAUUGGGCGUAAAGGGUCCGCAGGUGGCGAAUAAAGUCUGCUGUUAAAGACCGGGGCUAAACUCCGGAAAGGCAGUGGAAACUGAUUAGCUAGAGUACGGUAGGGGUAGAGGGAAUUCCCAGUGUAGCGGUGAAAUGCGUAGAUAUUGGGAAGAACACCGGUGGCGAAAGCGCUCUACUAGGCCGAAACUGACACUGAGGGACGAAAGCUAGGGUAGCGAAAGGGAUUAGAUACCCCUGUAGUCUUAGCGGUAAACGAUGGAUACUAGGUGUAGCUUGUAUCGACCCGAGCUGUGCCGAAGCUAACGCGAUAAGUAUCCCGCCUGGGGAGUACGCACGCAAGUGUGAAACUCAAAGGAAUUGACGGGGGCCCGCACAAGCGGUGGAGUAUGUGGUUUAAUUCGAUGCAACGCGAAGAACCUUACCAGGGCUUGACAUGUCGCGAAUCUAGCGGAAACGUUAGAGUGCCUUAGGGAAUGCGAACACAGGUGGUGCAUGGCUGUCGUCAGCUCGUGUCGUGAGAUGUUGGGUUAAGUCCCGCAACGAGCGCAACCCUCGUCCUUAGUUGCCAAUAUUAAGUUAGGCACUCUAGGGAGACUGCCGGGGACAACUCGGAGGAAGGUGGGGAUGACGUCAAGUCAGCAUGCCCCUUACGUCCUGGGCGACACACGUACUACAAUGGUUGGGACAAAGGGCAGCAAACUCGCGAGAGUAAGCGGAUCUCAUCAAACCCAGCCACAGUUCAGAUUGCAGGCUGCAACUCGCCUGCAUGAAGUAGGAAUCGCUAGUAAUCGCAGGUCAGCAUACUGCGGUGAAUUCGUUCCCGGGCCUUGUACACACCGCCCGUCACACCAUGGAAGCUGGCUACGCCCGAAGUCGUUACCCUAACCCGGUUUUGGGAGGGGGAUGCCGAAGGUAGAGCUAGUGACUGGGGUGAAGUCGUAACAAGGUAGCCGUACCGGAAGGCGUGGCUGGAUCACCUCCUUUACAGGGAGACCUAGUCUAAUUACCAAUAGAUAAAAAAGUUGGUAAUUCGCAAGAAUCCUUAGGUCGUGAGGGGAGCAAGAAAAAACUUUCAAACUGUAAUGGGUGAGGGUCAAUGGGCUAUUAGCUCAGGUGGUUAGAGCGCACCCCUGAUAAGGGUGAGGUCCCUGGUUCAAGUCCAGGAUGGCCCACCUAAAAUACACAGGCAUCCUGCCUGUGCCACAAAAAAAGGAAAAAGUUUUGGCAUUGUCUCUUGUAACCAAGAGCAAGAGAUAAUGCUGGAAUAGAUUCCAGCAAGAA
Molecule: unclassified non-coding RNA, 1361 nt
Filed under: uncultured cyanobacterium
Lineage: Bacteria; Bacillati; Cyanobacteriota
Description: bacterial SSU rRNA
Rfam family: Bacterial small subunit ribosomal RNA (bases 1-1064)
Source: RNAcentral